This is a non-coding RNA of Maylandia zebra (zebra mbuna), 213 nucleotides long. The record is from RefSeq and is a predicted model, not a curated record. Lineage: Eukaryota; Metazoa; Chordata; Actinopteri; Cichliformes; Cichlidae.
AGAAGCUUCCGGAAACCCCCGCCCCCUUCUCUGACGUCAACCCCCCCGUGCGGGACUCUUCAGAAGAGCGAUCAGCUGCAGUCUGCUCAGCAGUGAGAAAAGAAGACGUCAGUGAUGGACGAAUCAUCGUCAAAGAGAAGAACAACAAAGACGAGAGACGUACAAAGAUGAUCCACCAGUGCUGCCCAGUUUGAGGACAUUUCCAGUCACAUU